Molecule: unclassified non-coding RNA, 325 nt
Filed under: Mycobacterium sp. FI-06192
Lineage: Bacteria; Bacillati; Actinomycetota; Actinomycetes; Mycobacteriales; Mycobacteriaceae
Description: partial contains 16S ribosomal RNA and 16S-23S ribosomal RNA intergenic spacer
Source: RNAcentral
AAGUCGUAACAAGGUAACCGUACCGGAAGGUGCGGCUGGAUCACCUCCUUUCUAAGGAGCACCACGAAAAGCACCCCAAUUGGUGGGGUGCGAGCCGUGAGGGGUUCUCGCCUGUAGUGGGCGAGAGCCGGGUGCACAACAGCAAAUGAUUGCCAGACACACUAUUGGGCCCUGAGACAACACUCGGCCAGUCCGUGUGGUGUCCCUCCAUCUUGGUGGUGGGGUGUGGUGUUUGAGUAUUGGAUAGUGGUUGCGAGCAUCUAAACGGACGCGUUGCCGGCAACGGUAAUGUAUUCGUUGAAAUGUGUAAUUUCUUUUUGAUUUU